UUAGGGGUUUUAAUGGAUUUUAGGGUUUAGGUUUUCUUAGGGUUUAGGAUUUCUUAGUGUUUCAUAUGGUUUGAGAUUUAGGGUUUAGCCCUAUGGUUUAGAGUUAAGGAUUUAGAGUUUCUUAGGGUAUGGAAUUUAACAUUUGUGAUUUCUUAGGCUUUGGUAAUUUAAAGGGUUUUGGGCUGAAGAUUUUCUAGGGUUUUAUUAGGUUUAGAGGAAUUUUUAGGUUUAGGGUUUUAAAGGGUGUUUAGGAUAUUUAUGGUUUUUUUACGAUUAAGGGGUUUGUAGAGCUUAGGGUUUUUAAAAGUUUCGGGUUUAGGGGUUUUAAAUGUUUUUUAGGGUUUUUUUAUUUCUUAAGGUAGACUCUUAGGGUUUUAGCCCUAAGGUUUAGGGUUUCUUUGUGUAUAGAGUUGAGCAUUUAGGGUUUCUUAGGAUUUAGGGUUGAAGGUCUAAGUUUUUUAUUUAAGGGUUUUUAAGGUUUAAGGCUGAGGGCUUAUGUUUUUGUAGUAUUUUUUAGGUUUAGAGUUUUUUUUUUUUUUGGAUUUCAAACGGGUUUUUCAAGAUUUAAUAAUUUUCUAUGGUUUAGGGGUUCUUAGCGAUUAGGAUUUCUUUGAGAUUUGGGGUUAGGAUUUUAGAUUUAGGGUUUUUUAGGGGUUAGGGGAUUUUAAGGGGAUUUUUUUAGGUUUAGUGUUUUUAAAGGUGUUUUAUGGUUUAGGAUUUCUUAGGGUUUAGGGUUUGUUGGUGUUUCUUAAGUCUUUGGGUUUAGGGGUUUCCCUAAGGCUGAGGGUUUAGUGUUUCUUAGGGGUUUCAAAUUUCUUAGGUUUAGGCUUGUAAAGGUUUUUUAAGGUGUUGAUCUAAUAUGCUUAUGAUAUGCCAACUCAAGGUUAUCUUGGGGUUACUCGUGAUCCUCCGUCCCGCGUUACGUCACGGGAGUAUAAUCGGGGAGUGAUAAAAACAAUGUCUGAAUAAAAUCCUCUAACUUACUAGAGAUACUGGGACAUGCCCUCAACUAACUCUAGCAAAACUGAAAAUAAAAUGAAAGGCAGAAUAUAAAACAUGUCAAUCGUCCUCGAAGAACGAGGUCUCACCACCGAUAUUGCUGAUUAAGGAUCUGGAACCGAUCUUUGCAUGAUCCGAAUGCCGAGGACCUGUACCUACAUCCCGAGAAGAUGUAGCGUAGAGUGUGUGUCAGUACUUGAAAGGUACUGAGAAUGCAUGAUAGGUUAAAGCUGAACAAAUAUAUAUAACUUAAUAGAGCAUAUUGAACAAUGGUAUAAUCUGAACAUGAUUAAUAAGAAUUUAGGUAUUUGGAUAAAGGUUUUUAGGUUAGGGUUUAGAGCUUAAGUUUUUCUUGGAUUUUUUUAGGUUUAAGAGUUUUUUUUCGACUUUAGGAUUUUUUAAGGAUUUUUUUAGGAUUCAUUAAUGUUUUUAUGGUUUAGUAGUUUUAAGGGCUUUAGGACUUAGGGUUUUAGAUUAUGGAAUUUUUUUAGGGUUUGUAAGGUUUGUUUUCGGGAUUUUUAGUUUUAGAGUUUAAAAGGUUUUUAGCGUUUUGUUUUCUUAGGAUUUAGGGGAUUCUUAGAGUUUUCAUAAGGAUUAGGCUUGGGUGUUUAUCCCUAAGGUUUAGGGUUUAGGUUUCUUAGGGUUUGAGUUUAACAUUUAAGGUCUCCUAGUUUUUUUUUUCUAUUGGAUUAUUUAGGAUUUAGUGUUUUAGGUUUAGGGUUUAUGUUUGUUAGGUUGAAGAUUUUUUAGAGGUUUUUAAUGUUUAGAGUUUUUAAAGUUUUUUUUGUUGUUUUUUAGGGUUUAGGUUUUUCUUAGUGUUUUUUUGGGUUUAGUGUUUGGGGUUUUCUUAGAUUUUGGCUUUUUGGCUUACGAUUUAGGGUUUCUUAGGGUAAAGGAUUCAGGGUUUAAAGAUUGUGGGUUCCUUAGGUUUAGGAGUUUUAAAGUUUUUUUUUUUAAGGUUUAGGUUUUCUUAGUGAUUUUUAGGGUUUAGGGUUUCAUAGGGUUUAGGAUUCUUUUAAAUUGAUUUUAGGGUAAAUUAUGGUGUAGGGCUUACUGUUUUUUAGGUUUAAGGUUUUUAGGGGUUUUAAAGGGGUUUUUUUUUUCGUUAGAGAAUAUAGGUUUAGAAUUUUUAAAGGUUUUUAAGGUUUCAUAGGGUUUAGGAUUUUAGGUUUUAAGGUAUUUGGGUUUAUAAGGGUUUAAGGUUUAGAGUUUCUUAGGGUUUAGUGUUUCUUAGAGUAUGAUAGGGUUUCCUGGUUUAGAGUUUAGGGCUUAGGGUUUUAGGUUUAAAGAUUAUUUUUUUGAGUUUUUUAAGGGUUUAUGCUUAUGAUUUCUUAAGGGUUUUUAGGAGAUUUAAGGGUUUCUUUAUGUUUAGGGGUAAGGCCAAAGGUUUAGGGAUUAGGCCUUAACGUAUAGGGUUUAAGAUUUAGGGUUUCAGGUUUUAGGUUAAGAGUUUUAUUUAGGGUUUAUGGUUUUUUUUAGGUUUAUUAUUUUUAUGGUGAGGGUUUUUAAAUGAUUUAGGGUUUCGUAGGGUUUUUUAAGAAUUUGGAUUUCUUCAGAUUUAGGGUUAUGUAGGAUUUAGGGCAUAGGAUUUUUUUAAGGCUUAGGAUUUUUAAAGGGAUUUAUUUUUUCCCCCGAGUAUUAUAGAUUUAGGGGUUUUAAUGGAUUUUAGGGUUUAAGUUUUCUUAGGGUUUAGGAUUUCUUAGUGUUUCAUAUGGUUUGAGAUUUAGGGUUUAGCCCUAUGGUUUAGAGUUAAGGAUUUAGAGUUUCUUAGGGUAUGGAGUUUAUCAUUUGUGAUUUCUUAGGCUUUGGUAUUUUAAAGGGUUUUGGGCUUAAGAUUUUCUAUGGUUUUAUUAGGUUUAGAGGAAUUUUUAGGUUUAGGGUUUUAAAGGGUGUUUAGGAUAUAUAUUGUUUUUUUACGAUUAAGGGGUUCGUAGAGCUUAGGGUUUUUUAAAGUUUGGGGUUUAGGGGAGUUAAAUGUUUUUAGAGUUUUUUUAUUUCUUAAGGUAGACUCUUAGGGUUUUAGCCCUAAGGUUUAGGGUUUCUUUGGUUAUAGAGUUGGGCAUUUAGGGUUUCUUAGGAUUUAGGGUUGAAGGUCUAUGUUUUUUAUUUAAGGGUUUGUAAGGUUUAAGGCUUAGGGCUUAAGUUUUUGUAGUAUUUUUUAGGUUUAGAGUUUUUUUUCGGUUUAGGAUUUUAAAAGGGUUUUUCAAUAUCUUAAUAAUUUUCUACCGUUUAGGGGAUCUUAGGGAUUAGGAUUUCUUUGAGUUUAGGGCUUAGGAUUUUAGAUUUAGGGAUAACCCUAAAACAUUUAAAAACCCUAAUCAUAAAAAUAAUAAACCUACAAAAAACCAUAAACCCUAAAAAAAACUCUUAAUCUAAAACCCGAAACCCUAAACCUUAAACCCUAUACCUUAGGGCCUAAACCCUAAACCAUUGGCCUUAACCCUAAACAUAAAGAAACCCUUAAAGCCCCUAAAAACCCUUAAGAAAUCAUAAGCAUAAACCCUUAAAAAACUCAAAAAAAAUAAUCUUUAAACCUAAAACCCUAAUCCCUAAACUCUAAAACAGGAAACCCUAUCAAACUCUAAGAAACACUAAACCCUAAGAAACUCUAAACCUUAAACCCUUAUAAACCCUAAUACCUUAAAACCUAAGAUCCUAAACCCUAAACGCUAAGAAACCUUAUACCUAAGAAACCCUAAUACCCUAAACCCUAUGAAACCUUAAAAACCUUUAAAAACUCGAAACUUAUAUUCUCUAACAAAAAACAUAACCCCUUUAAAACCCCUAAAAACCUUCAACCUAAAACAUAGUAAGCCCUACACCAUAAUUUACACUAAAAUCAUUUUAAAAGAAUCCUAAACCCUAAAAAUCACUAAGAAAACCUAAACCCCUAAUAAUCACAAUGAAAACCAAAACCUUAAAAAAAAACAUUGAAACUCCUAAACCUAAGGAACCCACAAUCCCAAACUUUAAACCCUGAAUCCUUUACCCUAAGAAACCCUAAAUCGUAAGCCAAAAACCCAAACUCUAAAUAUACCCCAAACCCUAAACCCAAAAAAAUCUAAUAAAAACCUAAACCCUAAAAAACAACACAAAAAACUUGAAAAACUCUAAACCUUAAAAACCUCUAAAAUUUCUUAAACCUAAUAAACAUAAACCAUAAACCCUAGAAAAACCCUAAACCUAAAACACUAAACCCUAAAUGACCUAAAAAAAAAAACUAGGAGACCUUAAAUGUUAGACUCAAACCCUAAGAAACCAAAACCCUAAACCUUAGGGAUAAACCCCCAAGCCUAAUCCUUAUGAAACUCUAAGAAGCCCUAAAACCAAAGAAAAACAAAACACUAAUAACCUUUAAAACUCUAAAACUAAAAAUAUCGAAAACAAACAUUCCUAACCCUAAAAAUAUUCCAUAAUCUAAAACCCUAAGUCCUAAGCACUUAGAACUCCUAAACUGUAAAAACAUUAAUGAUCCUAAAAUAUACUUAAGAAUCCUAAGUCGAAAAAAACUUUUAACCUGAAAAAAUCCAAGAAAAACUUAAGCUCUAAACCCUAACCUAAAAACCUUUACCCAAAUACCUAAACUCUUAUUAAUCAUGUUCAGAUUAUACCAUUGUUCCAUAUGCUCUAUUCAGUUAUAUAUAUUUGUUUAGCUUUAUCCUAUCAUGCAUUCUCAGUACCUUUCAAGUACUGACACAUACUCUACGCUACAUCUUCUCGGGAUGUAGGUACAGGUCCUCGGCAUUCGGAUCAUGCGGAGAUCGGUUCCCGAUCCGUAUUCAGAUAAAUCAGUGGUGAGUCCUCGUUCUUCGAGGACGAUUGACAUGUUUUAUAUUCUUUCUUUCAUUUUCUUUUCAGUUUUGCUAGAGUUAGUUGGGGGGGAUGUCCCAGUAUCUCUAGUAAGUUAGAGGCUUUUAUUCAGACAUUAUUUGUGUCACUCCCCGAGGUUACUCCCGUGACGUAAGGCGGGACCUAGGAUCACGAGUAACCCCAAGCUAACCUUGAGUUGGCAUAUCAUAAGCAUAUUAGAUCAACACCUUAAAAAACCUUUACAAGCCUAAACCUAAGAAAUUUGAAACCACUAAGAAACCCUAAGUCAUAAACCCUAAGAAACACUAAACCCUCAGCCUUAGGGAAACCCCAAAACUUAUGAAACACCAACAAACCCUAAACCCUAAGAAAUCCUAAACCCUAAAAACACUAAACCUAAAAAAUCCCUUAAAAUCCCCUAACCCCUAAAAAACCCUAAAUCUAAAAUCCUAUGCCCUAAACUCAAAGAAAUCCUAAUCCCCAAGAACCCCUAAACCGUAGAAAAUUAUAAAAAUCUUGAAAACCCCUUUUAAAAUCCUAAAUGAAAAAAAACUUUCUAAACCUAAAAAAUACUACAAAAACUUAAUCCCUAAGCCUUAAACCUUAAAAACCCUUAAAUAAAAAACUUAGAACUUCAACCCUAAAUCCUAAGAAACCCUAAAUUCUCAACUCUAUACCCAAAGAAACCCUUAACCUUAGGGCUAAAUUUACCCUAAGAGACUACCUUAAGAAAUAAAAAAAACCCUAAAAAACAUUUAAAACCCCUAAACCCUAACCUUUUAAAAACCCUUAGCUCUACGAACCCCUUAAUCGUAAAAAAACCAUAAAUAUCCUAAACACCCUUUAAAACCCAAAACCUAAAAAUUCCUCUAUACCUAAUAAAACCCUAGAAAAUCUUAAGCCCAAAACCCUAAAUUCUAAAAACCCUUUAAAAAACCAAACCCUAAGAAAUCAUAAACACUAAAUCCUAUACCCUAAGAAACUCUAAAUCCUUAACUCUAAACCACAGGGAUAAACCCUAAACCUCAAACCAUAUGGAACACUAAGAAAUCCUAAACUCUAAGAAAACCUAAACCCUAAAAUCCAUUAAAACCCCUAAUACUAUAUUACUCAGGGAAAAAAAUAAAUUCCUUUAAAACCCUAAGCCUUAAAAAAAUCCUAUGCCCUAUAUCCUACGUAACCCUAAAUCUUAAGAAAUCCAAAUUCUUAAAAAACCCUAAGAAACCCUAAAACAUUUAAAAACCCUAAUCAUAAAAAUAAUAAACCUAAAAAAUACCAUAAACCCUAAAAAAACUCUUAACCUAAAACCCGAAACCCUAAACCUUUAACCCUAUACCUUAGGGCCUAAACCCUAAACCUUUGGCCUUAACCCUAAACAUAAAGAAACCCUUAAAACCCCUAAAAACCUUUUAAAACUGUAAACCUAAAAACCCUUAAGAAAUCAUAAGCAUAAACCCUUAAAAAAUUCAAAAAAAAUAAUCUUUAAACCUAAAACCCUAACCCUAAACUCUAAACCAGGAAACCCUAUCAUACCCUAAGAAACACUAAACCCUAAGAAACUCUAAACCUUAAAUCCUUAUAAACCCCUAAUACCUUAAAACCUAAGAUCCUAAACCCUAAACCCUAAGGAACCUUAUACCUAAGAAACCCUAAUACCCUAAACCCUAUGAAACCUUAAAAACCUUUAAAAACUCUAAACCUAUAUUCUCUAACAAUAAAAAAAACCCCUUUUAAAACCCCUAAAAACCUUAAUCCUAAAACACAGUAAGCCCUACACCAUAAUUUACCCUAAAAUCAUUUUAAAAGAAUCCUAAACCCUAUGAAACCCUAAACCCUAAAAAUCACUAAGAAAACCAAAACCUUAAAAAAAACUUUAAAACUCCUAAACGUAAGGAACCCACAAUCCCAAACUUUAAACACUUAAUACUUUACCCUAAGAAGCCCUAAAUCGUAAGCCAAAAACCCAAACUCUAAGAAAACCCCAAACCCUAAACCCAAAAAAACACUAAGAAAAACCUAAACCCGAAAAAAGAACACAAAAUGCUCUAUUCAGUUAUAUAUAUUUGUUCAGCUUUAUCCUAUCAUGCAUUCUCAGUACCUUUCAAGUACUGAAACAUACUCUACGCUACAUCUUCUCGGGAUGUAGGUACAAGUCCUCGGCAUUCGAAUCAUGCGGAGAUCGGUUCCCGAUCCGUAUUCAGCAAUAUCAUUGGUGAGUCCUCGUUCUUCGAGGACGAUUGACAUGUUUUAUAUUCUGUCAUUCAUUUUAUUUUCAGUUUUGCUAGAAUUAGUUGGGGGCAAGUCCCAGUAUCUCUAGUAAGUUAGAGGCUUUUAUUUAGACAUUGUUUUUGUCACUCCCCGAGGUUACUCCCGUGACGUAACGCGGGACCUAGGAUCACGAGUAACCCCAAGCUAACCUUGAGUUGGCAUAUCAUAAGCAUAUUAGAUCAACACCUUAAAAAACCUUUACAAGCAGAAACCUAAGAGAGUUGAACCCCCAAGAAACCCUAAAUCAUAAACCCUAAGAAACACUAAAUCCUUAGCCAUAGGGAAACCCCAAGACUUAUGAAACACCAACAAAGCCUAAACCCUAAGAAAUCCUAAACCCUAAAAACACCUUUAAAAACACUAAACCUAAAAAAUCCCUUAAAUCCCCUAACCCCUAAAAAACCCUAAAUCUAAAAUCUUAUGCCUUAAACUCAAAGAAAUCCUAAUCCCUAAGUACCCUUAAACCGUAGAAAAUUAUAAAAAUCUUGAAAAACCCUUUUAAAACCCCAAACCGAAAAACAACUCUAAACCUAAAAAAUACUACAAAAACUUAAUCCCCAAGCCUUAAACCUUUAAAAGCCUUAAAUAAAAAACUUAGACCUUCAACCCUAAAUCCUAAGAAACCCUAAAUUCUCAACUCUAUACCCAAAGAAACCCUAAACCUUAGGGCUAAAUUUACCCUAAAAGUCUACCUUAAGAAAUAAAAAAAACCCUAAAAAACAUUUAAAACCCCUAAACCCUAAACUUUUAAAAACCCUAAGCUCUACGAACCCCUUAAUCGUAAAAAAACCAUAAAUAUCCUAAACACCCUUUAAAACCCUAAACCUAAAAAUUCCUCUAAACCUAAUAAAACCCUAGAAAAUAUUAAGCCCAAAACCCUAAAUCCUAAAACCCUUUAAAAUACCAAACCCUAAGAAAUCAUAAACGCUAAAUCCUAUACCCUAAGAAACUCUAAAUCCUUAACUCUAAACCAUAGCGAUAAACCCUAAACCUCAAACCAUAUGAAACACUAGGAAAUCUGAAACCCUAAGAAAACCUAAACCCUAAAAUCCAUUAAAACCCCUAAUACUAUAAUACUCGGGGAAAAUAAAUAAAUCCCUUUAAAACCCUAAGCCUUUAAAAAAUCCUAUGCCCUAAAUCCUACGUAACCCUAAAUCUUAAGAAAUCCAAAUUCUUAAAAAACCCUAAGAAACCCUAAAACAUUUUAAAACCCUAAUCAUAAAAAUAAUAAACCUAAAAAAACCAUAAACCCUAAAAAAAACUCUUAACCUAAAACCCGAAACCCUAAACCUUAAACCCUAUACCUUAGGGCCUAAACCCUAAACCUUUGGCCUUAACCCUAAACAUAAAGAAACCCUUAAAACCCCUAAAAACCUUUUAAAACUGUAAACCUAAAAACCCUUAAGAAAUCAUAAGCAUAAACCCUUAAAAAACUCAAAAAACAUUAAUCUUUUAAACCUAAAACCCUAAGCCCUAAACUCUAAACAAGGAAACCCUAUCAUACUCUAAGAAACACUAAACCCUAAGAAACUCAAAACAUUAAACCCUUAUAAACCCUAAUACCUUAAAACCUAAGAUCCUAAACCCUAAACCCUAAGGAACCUUAUACCUAAGAAACCCUAAUACCCUAAACCCUAUGAAAUCUUUAAAACCAUUAAAAACUCUAAACCUAUAUUAUCUAACAAAAAAAAAACCCCUUUUAAAACCCAUUAAAACCUUAAACCUAAAACACAGUAAGCCCUACACCAUAAUUUACCCUAAAAUCAUUUUAAAAGAAUCCUAAACCCUAUGAAACCCUAAACCCUAAAAAUCACUAAGAAAACCUAAACCCUAAAAAUCACUAAGAAAACCAAAACUAUAAAAAAAAACUUUAAAACUCCUAAACCUAAGGAACCCACAAUCCCAAACAUUAAACCCUGAAUCCUUUACCCUAAGAAACCCUAAAUCGUAAGCCAAAAACCCAAACUCUAAGAAAUCCCCAAACCCUAAACCCAAAAAAACACUAAGAAAAACCUAAACCCUAAAAAACAACACAAAAAACUUUAAAAACUCUAAACCUUAAAAACCUCUAAAAAAAUCUUAAACCUAACAAACAUAAACCCUAAACCCUAGAAAAACCCUAAACCUAAAACACUUAACCCUAAAUGACCCCCAAAAAAAAAACUAGGAGACCUUAAAUGUUAAACUCAAACCCUAAGAAACCUAAACCCUAAACCUUAGGGAUAAACCCCUAAGCCUAAUCCUUAUGAAACUCUAUGAAGCCCUAAAUCCUAAGAAAAACAAAACACUAAUAACCUUUAAAACUCUAAAACUAAAAAUCUCGAAAACAAACCUUACAAACCCUGAAAAAACUCCAUAAUCUAAAACGCUAAGUCCUAAGCCCUUAGAACUCCUAAACCGUAAAUACAUUAAUGAUCCUAAAAAAUCCUUAAGAAUCCUAGGUCGAAAAAAAACUCUUAACCUAAAAAAGUCCAAGAAAAACUUAAGCUUUAAACCCUAACCGAAAAACCUUUACCCAAAUACCUAAACUCUUAUUAAUCAUAUUCAGAUUAUACCAUUGUUCAAUAUGCUCUAUUCAGUUAUAUAUAUUUGUUCAGCUUCUUCCUAUCAUGCAUUCUCAGUACCUUUCAAGUAUUGACACAUAUUCUAAGCUACAUCUUCUCGGGAUGUGGCUAAAGGUCCUCGGCAUUCGGAUCAUGCGGAGAUCGGUUCCCGAUCCGUAUUCAGCAAUAUCAUUGGUUAAUCAUCGUUCUUCGAGGAUGAUUGACAUGUUUUAUAUUCUGUCUUUCAUUUUUAUUUUAAGUUUUGCUAGAGUUAGUUGGGGGCAUGUCCCAGUAUCUCUAGUAAGUUAGAGGCUUUUAUUCAGACAUUGUUUUUGUCACUCCCCGAGGUUACUCCCGUGACGUAACGAGGGGACCUAGGAUCACGAGUAACCCCAAUCUAACCUUGAGUUGGCAUAUCAUAAGUAUAUUAGAUCAACACCUUAAAAAACCAUUACAAGCCUAAACCUAAGAAAUUUGAAAUCCCUAGGAAACCAUAAAUCAUAAACCCUAAGAAACACUAAACCCUCAGCCUUAGGGAAACCCCAAGACUUAUGAAACACCAACAAACCCUAAACCCUAAGAAAUCCUAAACCCUAAAAACACCUUUAAAAANNNNNNNNNNNNNNNNNNNNNNNNNNNNNNNNNNNNNNNNNNNNNNNNNNNNNNNNNNNNNNNNNNNNNNNNNNNNNNNNNNNNNNNNNNNNNNNNNNNNNNNNNNNNNNNNNNNNNNNNNNNNNNNNNNNNNNNNNNNNNNNNNNNNNNNNNNNNNNNNNNNNNNNNNNNNNNNNNNNNNNNNNNNNNNNNNNNNNNNNNNNNNNNNNNNNNNNNNNNNNNNNNNNNNNNNNNNNNNNNNNNNNNNNNNNNNNNNNNNNNNNNNNNNNNNNNNNNNNNNNNNNNNNNNNNNNNNNNNNNNNNNNNNNNNNNNNNNNNNNNNNNNNNNNNNNNNNNNNNNNNNNNNNNNNNNNNNNNNNNNNNNNNNNNNNNNNNNNNNNNNNNNNNNNNNNNNNNNNNNNNNNNNNNNNNNNNNNNNNNNNNNNNNNNNNNNNNNNNNNNNNNNNNNNNNNNNNNNNNNNNNNNNNNNNNNNNNNNNNNNNNNNNNNNNNNNNNNNNNNNNNNNNNNNNNNNNNNNNNNNNNNNNNNNNNNNNNNNNNNNNNNNNNNNNNNNNNNNNNNNNNNNNNNNNNNNNNNNNNNNNNNNNNNNNNNNNNNNNNNNNNNNNNNNNNNNNNNNNNNNNNNNNNNNNNNNNNNNNNNNNNNNNNNNNNNNNNNNNNNNNNNNNNNNNNNNNNNNNNNNNNNNNNNNNNNNNNNNNNNNNNNNNNNNNNNNNNNNNNNNNNNNNNNNNNNNNNNNNNNNNNNNNNNNNUCUCAGUACCUUUCUAGUACUGACACAUACUCUACGCUACAUCUUCUCGGGAUGUACGUACAGGUCCUCGGCAUUAGGAUCAUGCGGAGAUCGGUUCCCGAUCCGUAUUCAACAAUAUCAGUNNNNNNNNNNNNNNNNNNNNNNNNNNNNNNNNNNNNNNNNNNNNNNNNNNNNNNNNNNNNNNNNNNNNNNNNNNNNNNNNNNNNNNNNNNNNNNNNNNNNNNNNNNNNNNNNNNNNNNNCUGGGGGCUUGUCCCAGCAUCUCUAGUUAGUUAGAUGCUUUUAUUCAUAAAUUGUUUUUGUCACUCCCCGAGGUUACUCUCGUGACGUAACGAGGGACCUAGGAUCACGAGUAACCCCAAGCUAACCUUGAGUUGGCAUAUCAUAAGCAUANNNNNNNNNNNNNNNNNNNNNNNNNNNNNNNNNNNNNNNNNNNNNNNNNNNNNNNNNNNNNNNNNNNNNNNNNNNNNNNNNNNNNNNNNNNNNNNNNNNNNNNNNNNNNNNNNNNNNNNNNNNNNNNNNUCUAAGAAACACUAAACCCUAAACCUUAGGGAAAUCCCAAGACUUAUGAAACACCAACAAACCCUAAACCCUGAAAACACCUUUAAAAACACUAAACCUAAAAAAUCCCUUAAAUCCCCUAACCCCUAAAAAACCCUAAAUCUAAAAUCCUAUACCCUAAACUCAAAGAAAUCCUAAUCCCUAAGUACCCUUAUACCGUAGAAAAUUAUAAAAAUAUUGAAAAACCCUUUUAAAAUCCUAAACCGAAAAAAAACUCUAAACCUAAAAAAUACUACAAAAACUUAAUCCCUAAGCCUUAAACCUUAAAAACCCUUAAAUAAAAAACUUAGACCUUCAACCCUAAACCCUAAGAAACCCUAAAUGCUCAACUCUAUACCCAAAGAAAACCUAAACCUUAGGGCUAAAUUUACCCUAAGAGUCUACCUUAAGAAAUAAAAAAAACCCUAAAAAACAUUCAAAACCCCUAAACCCUAAACUUUAAAAAACCCUAAGCUCUACGAUCCCCUUAAUCGUAAAAAAUCCAUAAAUAUCCCAAACACCCUUUAAAACCCUAAACCUAAAAAUUUAUCUAAACCUAAUAAAACCCUAGAAAAUAUUAAGCCCAAAACCCUAAAAUCCUUAAAAUCCUUUAAAAAACCAAACCCUAAGAUAUCAUAAACGCUAAAUCCUAUACCCUAAGAAACUCUAAAUCCUUAACUCUAAACCAUAGGGAUAAACCCUAAACCUCAAACCAUAUGAAACACUAAGAAAUCCUAAACCCUAAAAAAACCUAAUCCUUAAAAUCCAUUAAAACCCCUAAUACUAUAAUACUCGGGGGAAAAAAAAAUCCCUUUAAAACCCUAAGCCAUAAAAAAAUCCUAUGCCCUAAAUCCUACGUAACCAUAAAUCAUAAGAAAUCCAAAUUCUUAAAAAACCCAAAGAAACCCUAAAACAUUUAUAAACCCUAAUCAUAAAAAUAAAAAACCUAAAAAAACCAUAAACCCUAAAAAAAACUCUUAAUCUAAAAGCCGAAACCCUAAACCUUAAACCCUAUCCCUUAGGGCCUAAAACCUAAACCUUUGGCCUUAACCCUAAACAUAAAGAAACCCUUAAAACCCCUAAAAACCUUUUAAAAUUUUUCUUGGAUUUUUUUAGGUUAAGAGUUUUUUUUCGACUUAGGAUUCUUUUAGGAUUUUUUUAGGAUCAUUAAUGUAUUUACGGUUUAGGAGUUCUAAGGGCUUAGGACUUAGGGUUUUAGAUUAUGGAAGUUUUAUAUCGUUUGUAGGGUUUGUUUUCGGGAUUUUUAGUUUUAGAGUUUUAAAGGUUAUUAGUGUUUUGUUUUUCUUAGGAAUUAGGUCUUCUUAGAGUUUCAUAAGGAUUAGGCUUGGGGUUUUAUCCCCAAGGUUUAGGUUUUAGGUUUGUUAGGGUUUGAGUUUAACAUUUAAGGUCUCCUAGUUUUUUUUUUGGGGUCAUUUAGGGUUUAGUGUUUUAGGUUUAUGGUUUUUUUCUAGGGUUUAGGGUUUAUGUUUGUUAGGUUUAAGAUUUUUGUAGAGGUUUUUUAAGGUUUAGAGUUUUUAAAGUUUUUUGUGUUGUUUUUUAGGGUUUAGGUUUUUAUUAGUGUUUUUUUGGGUUUAGGGUUUUCUUAGAGUUUGGGUUUUUGACUUACGAUUUAGGGUUUCUUAGGGUAAAGCAUUCAGGGUUUAAAGUUUGGAAUUGUGGGUUCCUUAGGUUUAGGAGUUUUAAAGUUUUUUUUUAAGGUUUUGGUUUUCUUAGUGAUUUUUAGGGUUUAGGUUUUCUUAGUGAUUUUUAGGGUUUAGGGUUUCAUAGGGUUUAGGAUUCUUUUAAAAUGAUUUUAGGGUAAAAUAUGAUGUAGGGCUUACUGUGUUUUAGGUUUAAGGUUUUUAGGGGUUUUAAAAGGGUUUUUUUUUAUUGUUAGAGAAUAUAGGUAUAGAGUUUUUAAAAGGUUUUUAAGGUUUCAUAGGGUUUAGGGUAUUAGGGUUUCUUAGGUAUAAGGUUCCUUAGGGCUUAGGGUUUUGUAUCUUAGGUUUUAAGGUAUUAGUUUUAUAAGGGUUUAAGGUUUAGAGUUUCUUAGGGUUUAGUGUUUCUUAGAGUAUGAUAGGGUUUCCUGGUUUAGAGUUUAGGGCUUAGCGUUUUAGGUUUAAAGAUUAUUUUUUUUGAGUUUUUUAAGGGUUUAUGCUUAUGAUUUCUUAAUGGUUUUUAGGUUUACAGUUUUAAAAGGUUUUUAGGGUUUUAAGGGUUUCUUUAUGUUUAGGGUUAAGGCCAAAGGUUUAGGGUUUAGGCCCUAAGGGAUAGGGUUUAAGGUUUAGGGUUUCGGGUUUUAGGUUAAGAGUUUUUUUUAGGGUUUAUGGUUUUUUUUAGGUUUAUUAUUUUUAUGAUUAGGGUUUUUAAAUGUUUUAGGGUUUCUUAGCGUUUUUUAUGAAUUUGGAUUCUUAAGAUUUAGGGUUACGCAGGAUUUUGGGCAUAGGAUUUUUUUAAGGCUUAGGGUUUUAAAGGGAUUUAUUCUUUUCCCCGAGUAUUAUAGUAUUAGGGGUUUUAAUGGAUUUUAAGGUUUAUGUUUUCUUAGGGUUUAGGUAUUUUCUUAGUGUUUCAUAUGGUUUGAGGUUUAGGGUUUAUCCCUAUGGUUUAGAGUUAAGGAUUUAGAGUUUCUUGGGGUAUAGGAUUUAGCGUUUAUGAUUUCUUAGGGUUUGGUUUUUUAAAGGAUUUUUAAGGAUUUAGGGUUUUGGGCUUAACAUUUUCUAGGGUUUUAUUAGGUUUAGAGGAACCUUUAGGUUUAGGGUUUUAAAGGGUGUUUAGGUUAUUUAUGGUUUUUUUACGAUUAAGUGGUUCGUAGAGCUUAGGGUUUUUUAAAGUUUAGGGUUUAGGGGUUUUAAAUGUUUUUUAGGGUUUUUUUAUUUCUUAAGGUAGACUCUUAGGGUAAAUUUAUCCCUAAGGUUUAGGGUUUCAUUGGGUAUAGAGUUGAGCAUUUAGGGUUUUUAGGAUUUAGGGUUGAUGGUCUAAUUUUUUAACUUAAGGGUUUUUCAGGUUUAAGGCUUAGGGAUUAAGUUUUUGGAGUAUUUUUUAGGUUUAGAGUUUUUUUUUGGUUUAGGAUUUUAAAAGGGUUUUUCAAGAUUUUUAUAAUUUUCUAUGGUUUAGGGGUUCUUAGGGAUUAGGAUUUCUUUGAGUUUAGGGCUUAGGAUUUUAGAUUUAGGAUUUUUUAGGGGUUAGGGGAUUUAAGGGAUUUUUUAGGUUUAGUGUUUUUAAAUGUGUUUUUAGGGUUUAGGAUUUCUUAGGGUUUAUGGUUUGUUGGUGUUUCAUAAGUCUUGGGGUUUCCCUAAGGCUGAGGCUUUAGUGUUUCAUAGGCUUUAUGAUUUAGGGUUUCUUAGGGUUUAUGGUUUGUUGGUGUUUCAUAAGUCUUGGGGUUUCCCUAAGGCUGAGGCUUUAGUGUUUCAUAGGCUUUAUGAUUUAGGGUUUCUUAGGGGUUUCAAAUUUGUUAUGUUUAGGCUUGUAAAGCUUUUUGAAGGUGUUGAUCUAAUAUGCUUAUGAUAUGCCAACUCAAGGUUAGCUUGGGGUUACUCGUGUUCCUAGGUCCCGCGUUACGUCGCGGGAGUAACCUCGGGGAGUGACAAAAAUAAUGUCUGAAAAAAAGCCUCUAACUUACUAGAGAUACUGGGACAUGCCACCAACUAAUUCUAGAUAAACUGAAUAUAAAAUGAAAGACAGAAUAUAAAAUAGGUCAAUCGUCCUCGAAGAACGAGGACUCACCACUGAUAUUGCUGAAUACGGAUCGAGAAACGAUCUCCGCAUGAUCCGAAUGCCGAGGACCUGUACCUACAUCCCGAGAAGAUGUAGCUUAGAGUAUGUGUCAGUACUUGAAAGGUACUGAGAAUUCAUGAUAGGAUAAAGUUGAACAAAUAUAUAUAACUGAAAAGAGCAUAUGGAACAAUGGUAUAAUCUGAACAUGAUUAAUAAGAGUUUAGGUAUUUGGGUAAAGGUUUUUAGGUUCGGGUUUAGAGCUUAAGUUUUUCUUGGAUUUUUUUAGGUUAAGAGUUUUUUUCGACUUAGGAUUCUUAAGGAUUUUUUAGGAUCAUUAAUGUAUUUACGGUUUAGGAGUUCAAAGGGAUUAGGACUUAGGGUUUUAGAUUAUGGAAUUUUUUUAGGGUUUGUAAGGUUUGUUUUCGGGAUUAUUAGUUAUGGAGUUUGAAAGGUUAUUAGUGUUUUGUUUUUCUUAGGAUUUAGGUCUUCUUAGAGUUUCAUAAGGAUUAGGCUUGGGGGUUUAUCCCCAAGGUUUAGGGUUUAGGUUUCUUAGGGUUUGAGUUUAACAUUUAAGGUCUCCUAGUUUAUUUUUUGGGGUCAUUUAGGGUUUAGUGAUUUAGGUUUAGGGUUUUUCUAGGGUUUAGGGUUUAUGUUUGUUAGGUUUAAGAUUUUUUAGAGGUUUUUAAGGUUUAGAAUUUUUAAAGUUUUUUGUGUAGUUUUUUAGGGUUUAGGUUUUUCUUAGUGUUUUUUAGGGUUUAGGGUUUGGGGUUUUCUUAGAGUUUGGGUUUUUGGCUUACGAUUUAGGGUUUCUUAGGGUAAAGGAUUCAGGGUUUAAAGUUUGGGAUUGUGGGUUCCUUAGGUUUAGGAGUUUUAAAGUUUUUUUUAAGGUUUUGGUUUUCAUAUUGAUUUUUAGGGUUUAGGUUUUCUUAGUGAUUUUUAGGGUUUAGGGUUUCAUAGGGAUUAGGAUUCUUUUAAAAUAAUUUUAGGGUAAAUUAUGGUGUAGGGCUUACUGUGUUUUAGGUUUAAGGUUUUUAGGGGUUUUAAAAGGAAUUUUUUUUUAUUGUUAGAGAAUAUAGGUUUAGAGUUUUUAAAAGUUUUUAAGAUUUCAUAGGGAGGGUAUUAGGGUUUGUUAGGUAUAAGGUUCCUUAGGGUUUAGGGUUUAGUAUCUUAGGUUUUAAGGUAUUAGGGUUUAUAAGGGUUUAAGGUUUAGAGUUUCUUAGGGUUUAGUAUUUCUUGGAGUACGAUAGGGUUUCCUGGUUUAGAGUUUCGGGCUUAGGGUUUUAGGUUUAAAGAUUAUGUUUUUUGAGUUUUUUUAAGGGUUUAUGCUUAUGAUUUUUUAAGGGUUUUUAGGUUUAGAAUUUGAAAGGGUUUUUAGGGGUUUUAAGGGUUUCUUUAUGUUUAGGGUUAAGGCCAAAGGUUUAGGGUUUAGGCCCUAAGGUAUAGGGUUUAAGGUUUAGGGUUUCGGGUUUUAGGUUAAGAGUUUUUUUUAGGGUUUAUGGUUUUUUUAGGUUUAUUAUUUUUAUGAUUAGGGUUUUUAAAUGUUUUAGGGUUUAUUAGUGUUUUUUAAGAAUUUGGAUUUCUUAUGAUUUAGGGUUACGUAGGAUUUAGGGCAUAGGAUUUUUUUAAGACUUAGGGUUUUAAAGGGAUUUAUUUUCCCCCCCCGAGUAUUAUAGUAUUAGGGUUUUAAUGGAUUUUUGGGUUUAGGUUUUCUUAGGGUUUAGGAUUUCUUAGUGUUUCAUAUGGUUUGAGGUUUAAGGUAGACUCUUAGGGUAAAUUUAUCCCUAAGGUUUAGGGUUUCAUUGGGUAUAGAGUUAAGAAUUUAGGGUUUCUUAGGAUUUAAGGUUGAAUGUCUAAGUUUUUUAUUUAAGAGUUUUAAAGGUUUAAGGCUUAGGGAUUAAGUUUUUGUAGUAUUUUUUUAGGGUUAGAGUUAUUUUUCGGUUUAGGGUUUUAAAAGGGUUUUUCAAGAUUUUUAUAAUUUUCUACGGUUUAGGGGCUCUUAGGGAUUAGGAUUUAUUUGAAUUUAGGGCUUAGGAUUUUAGAUUUAGGGAUUUUUAGAGAUUAGGGGAUUUAAGGGAUUUUUUAGGUUUAGUGUUUUUAAAGGUGUUUUUAGGGUUUAGGAUUUCUUAGGGUUUAGGGUUUAUUGGUGUUUCAUAAGUCAUGGGGUUUCUCUGAGGCUGAGGGUUUAGUGUUUCUUAGGGUUUAUGAUUUAGGGUUUCUUAGGGGUUUCGAAUUUCUUAGGUUUAGGCUUGUAAAGGUUUUUUAAGGUGUUGAGCUAAUAUGCUUAUGAUAUGCCUACUCAAGGUUAGCUUGGGGUUACUCGUGAUCCUAGGUCCCGCGUUACGUCUCGGGAGUAACCUCGGGGAGUGACAAAAACAAUGUCUGAAUAAAAGCCUCUAACUUACUAGAGAUACUGGGUCAUGCCCCCAACUAAUUCUAGCAAAACUGAAAAUAAAAUGAAAGACAGAAUAUAAAACAUGUCAAUCGUCCUCGAAGAACAAGGACUCACCACUGAUAUUGCUGAAUACGGAUCGGGAACCGAUCUCCGCAUGAUCGGAAUGUCGAGGACCUGUACCUACAUCCCGAGAAGAUGUAGCGUAGAGUAUGUGUCAGUACUUGAAAGGUACUGAGAAGUCAUGAUAGGAUAAAGCUGAACAAAUAUAUAUAACUUAAUAGGGCAUAUUGAACAAUGGUAUAAUCUGAACCUGAUUAAUAAGAGUUUAGGUAUUUGGGUAAAGGUUUUUAGGUUAGGGUUUAGAGCUUAUGUUUUUCUUGGAUUUUUUUAUGUUAAGAGUUUUUUUUCGAAUUAGGAUUCUUAAGGAUUUUUUAGGAUCAUUAAUGUAUUUACGGUUUGGGAGUUCUAAGGGCUUAGGACUUAGGGUUUUAGAUUAUGGAAUUUUUUUAGGGUUUGUAAGGUUUGUUUUCGGGNNNAAUAAGAGUUUAGGUAUUUGGGUAAAGGUUUUUAGGUUAGGGUUUAGAGCUUAAGUUUUUCAAAAUUUUUUAGGUCAAGAGUUGUUUUCAAUUUAGGAUUGAUAAAGAUUUUUUAGGAUCAAUAUUGUUUUUUACGAUAUACGAGUUCUAAGGGCUUAGGACAUAGGGUUUUAGAUUAUGGAUUUUUUUUAGGGUUUGUAAGUUUUAUUUUCAGGAUUUUUAGUUUUAAAGGUUAUUAGUGUUUUGUUUUUCUUAGGAUUUAGGGCUUCUUAGAGUUUCAUAAGGAUUAGGCUUGGGGGUUUAUCCCUAAGGUUUAGGGUUUAGGUUUCUUAGGGUUUGAGUUUAACAUUUAAGGUCUUCUAGUUUUUUUGGGGUCAUUUAGGGUUUAGUGUUUUAGGUUUAGCGUUUUUCUAUGGUUUAGGGUUUAUGUUUAUUAGGUUUAAGCUUUUUUAGAGGUUUUUAAGGUUUAGAGUUUUUAAAAGUUUUUUGUGUUGUUUUUAGGGUUAGGUUUUCUUAGUGUUUUUUUGGGUUAGGUUUUCUUAGAGUUUGGGUUUUUGGCUUACGAUUUAGGGUUUCUUAGGUUAAAAGGAUUCAGGGUUUAAAAGUUUUGGGAUUGUGGGUUUCCUUAGGUUUAGGAGUUUUUCAAGUUUUUUUUUAAAGGUUUUGGUUUUCUUAGUGAUUUUUAGGGUUUAGGUUUUCUUAGUUAUUUUUAGGGUUUCAUAGGGUUUAGGAUUCUUUUAAAAUUAUUUUAGUUAAAGGAUUCAGGGUUUAAAGUUUGGGAUUGUGGGUUCCUUAGGUUUAGGAGUUUUUCAAGUUUUUUUUUAAAGGUUUUGGUUUUCUUAGUGAUUUUUAGGGUUUAGGUUUUCUUAGUUAUUUUUAGGGUUUCAUAGGGUUUAGGAUUCUUUUAAAAUUAUUUUAGGGUAAAUUAUGGUGUAGGGCUUACUGUGUUUUAGGUUUAAAGUUUUUAGGGGUUUUAAAAGGGUUUUUUUUUUAUUGUUAGAGAAUAUAGGUUUAGAGUUUUAAAGGUGUUUAAGGUUUCAUAGGGUUUAGGGUAUUAGGGUUUCUUAGGUAUAAGGUUCCUUAAGGUUUAGGGUUUAGGAUCUUAGGUUUUAUGGUAUUAUGGUUUAUAAGGGUUUAAGGUUUAGAGUUUCUUAGGGUUUAGUGUUUGUUAGAGUAUGAUAGGGUUUCCUGGUUUAGAGUUUAGAGAUUAGGGUUUUAAGUUUAAAGAUUAUUGUUUUUGAGUUUUUUAAGGGUUUAUGCUUAUGAUUUCUUAAGGGUUUAUAGGUUUAGAGUUGUAAUACGUUUUUAGGGGUUUAAAGGGUUUCUUUAUUUUUAGGGUUAAGGCCAAAGGUUUAGGGUUUAGGCCCUAAGGUAUAGGGUUUAAGGUUUAGGGAUUCGGGUUUUAGGUUAAGAGUUUUUUUUAGGUUUAUUAAUUUUAUGAUUAGGGUUUUUAAAUGUUUUAGGGUUUAUUAGGGUUUUUUGAGAAUUUGGAAUUCUUAAGAUUUAGGGUUACGUAGGAUUUAGGGCAUAGGAUCUUUUUAAGGCUUAGGAUUUUAAAGGGAUUUAUUUUUUUCCCCGAGUAUUAUAGUAUUAGGGUUUUUAAUUUAUUUUAGGGUUUAGGUUUUCUUAGGGUUUAGGAUUUCUUAGUGUUUUGUAUGGUUUGACGUUUAGGGUUUAUCCCUAUGGUUUAGAGUUAAGGAUUUAGAGUUUCUUAGGGUAUAGGAUUUAGCGUUUAUGAUUUCUUAGGGUUUGGCUUUUUAAAGGGUUUUUAGGAUUUAGGGUUUUGGGCUUAAGAUUUUCUAGGGUUUUAUUAGGUUUAUAGGAGUUUUUAGGUUUAGGGUUUUAAAGGGUGUUUAGGAUAUUUAUGGUUUUUUUAACGAUUAAGAGGUUCGUCGAGCUUAGGGUUUUUAAAAGUUUAGGGUUUAGGAUUUUAAAAGGGUUUUUCAAGAUUUUUAUAUUUUUCUACGGUUUAUGGGUUCUUAGGGAUUAGGAUUUAUUUAAGUUUAGGGCUUAGGAUUUUAGAUUUAGGGUUUUUUAGGGUUUAGGCGAUUUAAUGGAUUUUUUAGGUUUAGUGUUUUUAAAUGUGAUUUUAGGGUUUAGGAUUUCUUAGGAUUUAGGGUUUGUUGGUGUUUCAUAAGUCUUGGGGUUUUCCUAAGGCUGAGGGUUUAGUGUUUCUUAGGGUUUAUGAUUUAGGGUUUCUUAGGGGUUUCAAAUUUCUUAAUUUUAGGCCUGUAAAGGUUUUUUAAGGUGUUGAUCUAAUAUGCUUAUGAUAUGCCAACUCAAGGUUAGCUUGGGGUUACUCGUGAUCCUAGGUCCCGCGUUACGUCACGGGAGUAACCUCGGGGAGUGACAAAAACAAUUUAUGAAUAAAAGCAUCUAACUAACUAGAGAUGCUGGGACAAGCCCCCAGCUAAGUUUAGCAAAACUGAAACNNNNNNNNNNNNNNNNNNNNNNNNNNNNNNNNNNNNNNNNNNNNNNNNNNNNNNNNNNNNNNNNNNNNNNNNNNNNNNNNNNNNNNNNNNNNNNNNNNNNNNNNNNNNNNNNNNNNNNNNNNNNNNNNNNNNNNNNNNNNNNNNNNNNNNNNNNNNNNNNNNNNNNNNNNNNNNNNNNNNNNNNNNNNNNNNNNNNNNNNNNNNNNNNNNNNNNNNNNNNNNNNNNNNNNNNNNNNNNNNNNNNNNNNNNNNNNNNNNNNNNNNNNNNNNNNNNNNNNNNNNNNNNNNNNNNNNNNNNNNNNNNNNNNNNNNNNNNNNNNNNNNNNNNNNNNNNNNNNNNNNNNNNNNNNNNNNNNNNNNNNNNNNNNNNUUUUUCUAGGGUUUAGGGUUUAUGUUUGUUAGGUUGAAGAUUUUUUAGAGGUUUUUAAUGUUUAGAGUUUUUAAAGUUUUUUUUGUUGUUUUUAAGGGUUUAGUUUUUUCUUAGUGUUUUUUUGGGUUUAGGGUUUUCUUAGAGUUUGGGUUUUUGGCUUACGAUUUCGGGUUUCUUAGGGUAAAGGAUUCAGGGUUUAAAGUUUGGGAUUGUGGGUUCCUUAGGUUUAGGAGUUUUAAAGUUUUUUUUAAGGUUUUGGUUUUUUAAGUGAUUUUUAGGGUUUAGGUUUUCUUAAUGAUUUUUAGGGUUUAGGAUUCUUUUAAAUUGAUUUUAGGGUAAAUUAUGGUGUAGGGCCUACUGUUUUUUUAGGUUUAAGGUUUUUAGGGGUUUUAAAGGUGUUUUUUUUUUGUUAGAGAAUAUAGGUUUCGAGUUUUUGAAGGUUUUUAAGGUUUCAUAGGGUUUAGGAUAUUAGGGUUUCUUAGGUAUAAGGUUUCUUAGGGUUUAGGGUUUAGGAUCUUAGGUUUUAAGGUAUUAGGGUUUAUAAGUGUUUAAGGUUUAGAGUUUCUUAGGGUUUAGUGUUUCUUAGAGUAUGAUAGGGUUUCCUGCUUUAGAGUUUAGGGGAUUAGGGUUUUAGGUUUAAAGAUUAUUGUUUUUGAGUUUUUUAAGGGUUUAUGCUUAUGAUUUCUUAGGGGUUUUUAGGUUUAGAGUUUUAAAAAGUUUUUAGGGGUUUUAAGGGUUUCUUUAUGUUUAGGGUUAAGUCCAAAGGUUUAGGGUUUAGGCCCUAAGGUAUUAGGGUUUAAGGUUUAGGGUUUCGGGUUUUAGGUUAAGAGUUUUUUUAGGGUUUAUGGUUUUUUUAGGUUUAUUAUUUUUAUGAUUAGGGUUUUUAAAUGUUUUAGGGUUAAUUAGGGUUUUUUAAGAAUUUGGAUUUCUUAAGAUUUAGGGUUACGUAGGAUUUAGGGCAUAGGAUCUUUUUAAGACUUAGGGUUUUAAAGGGAUUUAUUUUUUUCCCCGAGUAUUACAGUAUUAGGGGUUUUAAUGGAUUUUAGUGUUUAGGUUUUUUUAGGGUUUAGGAUUUCUUAGUGUUUUGUAUGGUUUGAGGUUUAGGCUUUAUCCCUAUGGUUUAGAGUUAAGGAUUUAGAGUUUCUUAGGGUAUAGGAUUUAGCGUUUAUGAUUUCUUAGGGUUUAGGGUUUGUUGGUGUUUCAUAAGUCUUGGGGUUUCCCUAAGGCUGAGGGUUUAGUGUUUCUUAGGGUUUAUGAUUUAGGGUUUCUUAGGGGUUUCAAAUUUCUUAGGUUUAGGCUUGUAAAGGUUUUUUAAGGUGUUCAUCUAAUAUGCUUAUGAUAUACCAACUCAAGGUUAGCUUGGUGUAACUCCUGAUCCUAGGUCCCGCUUUACGUAACGGGAGUAACCUCUGGGAGUGACAAAAACAAUGUCUGAAUAAAAGCCUCUAACUUACCAGAGAUACUGGGACAUGCCCCCAACUAACUCUAGCAAAUCUGAAAAUAAAAUGAAAGACAAAUUAUAAAACAUGUCAAUCGUCCUCGAAUAACGAGGACUCACCACUUAUAUUUCAGAAUACGGAUCGGGAACCGAUCUCCGCAUGAUCCUAAUGCCGAGGACCUGUACGUACAUCCCGAGAAGAUGUAGCGUAGAGUAUGUGUCAGUACUUUAAAGGUACUGAGAAUGCAUGAUAGGAUAAAGAUGAACAAAUAUAUAUAACUAAAUAGAGCAUAUUUAACUAUGGUAUAAUCUGAACAUGAUUAAUAAGAGUUUAGGUAUUUGGGUAAAGGUUUUUAGGGUAGGGUUUAGAGCUUAAGUUUUUCUUGGAUUUUUUUAGGUUAAGAGUUUUUUUUCGACUUAGGAUUUUUAAGGAUUUUUUAGGAUCAUGAAUGUUUUCACGGUUUAGGAGUUCUAAGGGCUUAGGACUUAGGUUUUUAGAUUAUGUAAUUUUUUUAGGUGUUGUAAGGUUUGUUUUCGGGAUUUUUAGUUUUAGAGUUUUAAAGGUUAUUAGUGUUUUGUUUUCCUUAGUAUUUAGGGCUUCUUAGAGUUUCAUAAGGAUUAGGCUUGGGGGUUUAUCCCUAAGAUUUAGGGUUUAGGUUUCUUAGGGUUUGAGUUUAACAUUUAAGGUCUCCUAGUUUUUUUUUUUGGGUCAUUUAGGGUUUAGUGUUUUAGGUUUAGGGUUUUUUAGGGUUUAGGUUUUCUUAGUGAUUUUUAGGGUUUAGGUUUUCUUAGUGAUUUUUAGGGUUUAGGUUUUCUUAGUGAUUUUUAGGGUUUAGGUUUUCUUAGUGAUUUUUAGGGUUUAGGUUUUCUUAGUGAUUUUUAGGGUUUAGGUUUUCUUAGUGAUUUUUAGGGUUUAGGUUUUCUUAGUGAUUUUUAGGGUUUAGGUUUUCUUAGUGAUUUUUAGGGUUUAGGUUUUCUUAGUGAUUUUUAGGGUUUAGGUUUUCUUAGUGAUUUUUAGGGUUUAGGUUUUCUUAGUGAUUUUUAGGGUUUAGGUUUUCUUAGUGAUUUUUAGGGUUUAGGUUUUCUUAGUGAUUUUUAGGGUUUAGGGUUUCAUAGGGUUUAGAAUUCUUUUAAAAUGAUUUUAGGGUAAAUUAUGGUGUAGGGCUUACUGUGUUUUAGGUUUAUGAUUUUUAGGGGUUUUUUUUUUGUUAGAGAAUAUAGGUUUCGAGUUUUUAAGGGUUUUUAAGGUUUCAUAGAGUUUAGGGUAUUAGGGUUUCUUAGGUAUAAGGUUUCUUAGGGUUUAGGGUUUAGGAUCUUAGGUUUUAAGGUAUUAGGGUUUAUAAGGGUUUAAGGUUUAGAGUUUCUUAGGGUUUAUUGUUUCUUAGAGUAUGAUAGGGUUUCCUGGUUUAGAGUUUAGGGAUUAGGGUUUUAGGUUUAAAGAUUAUUUUUUUGAGUUUUUUAAGGGUUUAUGCUUAUGAUUUCUUAAGGGUUUUUAGGUUUACAGUUUUAAAAGGUGUUUAGGGGUUUUAAGGGUUUCUUUAUGUUUAGGGUUAAGGCCAAAGGUUUAGGGUUUAGGCCCUAAGGUAUAGGGUUUAAGGUUUAGGGUUUCAGGUUUUAGGUUAAGCGUUGUUUUUAGGGUUUAUGGUUUUUUUUAGGUAUAUUAUUUUUAUGAUUAGGGUUUUAAAAUGUUUUAGGGUUUAUUAGGGUUUUUAAGAAUUUGGAUUUCUUAAGAUUUAGGGUUACGUAGGAUUUAGGGAAUAGGAUUUUUUUAAGGCUUAGGGUUUUAAAGGGAUUUAUUCUUUUCCCCGAGUAUUAUAGUAUUAGGAAUUUUAUUGGAUUUUAGGGUUUAGGUUUUCUUAGGGUUUAGGAUUUCUUAGUGUUUCGUAUGGUUUGAGGUUUAGGGUUUAUCCCUAUGGUUUAGAAUUAAGGGUUUAGAGUUUCUUAGGGUAUAGGAUUUAGCAUUUAUGAUUUCUUAGGGUUUGGUUUUUAAAGGGUUUUUAGGAUUUAGGGUUUUGGGCUUAAGAUUUUCUAGGGUUUUAUUAGGUUUAGAGGAAUUUUUAAGUUUAGGGCUUUAAAGGGUGUUUAGGAUAUUUAUGGUUUUUUUACGAUUAAGGGGUUCGUAGAGCUUAGGGUUUUUGAAAGUUUAGGGUUUAGGGGUUUUAAAUGUUUUUUAGGUUUUUUUUUAUUUCUUAAGUUCGACUCUUAGGGUUUAGCCCUAAGGUUUAGGGUUUCUUUGGGUAUAGAGUUGAACAUUUAGGGUUUCUUAGGAUUUAGGGUUGAAGGUCCAAGUUUUUUAUUUAAGGGUUUUUUAAGAUAUAAGGCUUAGGGAUUAAGUUUUUGUAGUAUUUUUAGGUUUAGAGUUUUUUUCGGUUUAGGAUUUUAAAAGGUUUUCAAGAUUUCUAUAAUUUUCUACGGUUUAGGGGUUCUUAGGGAUUAGGAUUUCUUUGAGCAUAGGACUUAGGAUUUUAGAUUUGGGGUUGUUUAGGGGUUAGGGGAUUUAAGGGAUUUUUUAGGUUUAGUGUUUUUAAAGGUGCUUUCAGGGUUUAGGAUUUCUUAGGGUUUAGGGUUUGUUGGUGUUUCAUAAGUCUUGGGGUUUCCCUAAGGCUGAGGGUUUAGUGUUUCUUAGGGUUUAUGAUUUAUGGUUUCUUAGGGGUUUCAAAUAUCUUAGGUUUAGGCUUGUAAAGGUUUUUAAAGGUGUUGAUCUAAUAUGCUUAUGAUAUGCCAACUCAAGGUUAGCUUGGGGUUACUCGUGAUCCUAGGUCCCGCGUUACGUCACGGGAGUAACCUCGGGGAGUGACAAAAACAAUGUCUGAAUUAAAGCCUCUAACUUACUAGAGAUACUGGGACAUGACCCCAACUAACUCUAGCAAAACAGAAAAUAAAAUGAAAGACAGAAUAUAAAACAUGUCAAUAGUCCUCGAAAAAUGAGGACUCACCACUGAUAUUGCUGAAUACGGAUCGGGAACCGAUCUUCGCAUGAUCCGAAUGCCGAGGACCUGUACCUACAUCCCGAGAAGAUGUCGCGUAGAGUAUGUCAGUACUUGAAAGGUACUGAGAAUGCAUGACAGGAUAAAGCUGAACAAAUAUAAAUAACAGAAUAGAGCAUAUUGAACAAUGGUAUAAUCUGAACAUGAUAAAUAAGAGUUUAGAUAUUUUGGUAAAGGUUCUUAGGUUAGGGUGUAAAGCUUAAGUUUUUCUUGGAUUUUUUUAGGUUAAGAGUUUUUUUUCGACUUAGGAUUCUUAAGGAUUUUUUAGGAUCAUUAAUGUUUUUUAUGGUUUAGGAGUUCUAAGGGCUUAGGACUUAGGGUUUUAGAUUAUGGAAUUUUUUAGGGUUUGUAAGGUUUGUUUUCGGGAUUUUUAGUUUUAGAGUUUUAAAGGUUAUUAGUGUUUUGUUUUUCUUAGAAUUUAGGGCUUCUUAGAGUUUCAUAAGGAAUAGGCUUGGGGGUUUAUCCCUAAGGUUAAGUGUUUAAGUUUCUUAGGGUUUGAGUUUAACAUUUAAGGUCUCCUAGUUUUUUUUUUGGGGUCAUUUAGGGUUUAUUGUUUUAGGUUUAGGGUUUUUCUAGUGUUUAGGGUUUAUGUUUGUUAGGUUUAAGAUAUUUUAGAGGUUUUUAAGGUUUAGAGUUUUUAAAGUUUUUUGUGUUGUUUUUUAGGGUUUAGGUUUUUGUUAGUGUUUUAUUGGGUUUAGGGUUUGGGGUUUUCUUAGAGUUUGGGUUUUUGGCUUACGAUUUAGGGUUUCUUAGAGUAAAGGAUUCAGGGUUUAAAGUUUGGGAUUGUGGGUUCCUUAGGUUUAGGAGUUUUAAAGUUCUUUUUUAAGAUUUUGGUUUUCUUAGUGAUAUUUAGGGUUUAGUUUUUUUUAGUGAUUUUUAGGGUUUAGGGUUUCAUAGGGUUUAGGAUUCUUUUAAAAUGAGUUUAGGGUAAAUUAUGGUGUAGGGCUUACUGUGUUUUAGGUUUAAGGUUUUUAGAGGUUUUAAAAGGGGUUUUUUUUUUGUUAGAGAAUAUAGGUUUAAAGUUUUUAAAGGUUUUUAAGGUUUCAUAGUGUUUAGGGUAUUAGGGUUUCUUAGGUCUAAGGUUUCUUAGGGUUUAGGGUUUAGGAUCUUAGGUUUUAAGGUAUUAGGGUUUAUAAGGGUUUAAGGUUUAGAGUUUCUUAGGGUUUAGUGUUUCUUAGAGUAUGAUAGGGUUUCCUGCUUUAGAGUUUAGGGAUUAGGGUUUUAGGUUUAAAGAUUAUUGUUUUUGAGUUUUUUAAGGGUUUAUGCUUAUGAUUUCUUAGGGCUUUUUAGGUUUAGAGUUUUAAAAGGUUUUUAGGGGUUUUAAGGGUUUCUUUAUGUUUAGGGUUAAGGCCAAAGGUUUUGGGUUUAGGCCCUAAGGUAUAGGGUUUAAGGUUUAGGGUUUCGGGUUUUAGGUUAAGAGUUUUUUUUAGGGUUUAUGGUUUUCUUUAGGUUUAUUAUAUUUAUGAUUAGGGUUUUAAAAUGUUUUAGGGUUUAUUAAGGUUUUUUAAGAAUUUAGAUUUCUUAAGAUUUAGGGUUACGUAGGAUUUAGGGCAUAGGAUUUUUUUAAGGCUUAGGGCUUUAAAGGGAUUUAUUUUUUCCCCCGAGUAUUAUAGUAUAAGGGGUUUUAAUGGAUUUGAGGGUAUAGGAUUUCUUAGUGUUUCAUAUGGUUUGAGGUUUAGGGUUUAUCCCUAUGGUUUAGAGUUAAGGAUUUAGAGUUUCUUAGGGUAUAGGAUUUAGCGUUUAUGCUUCCCUAGGGUUUGGGUUUUUAAAGGGUUUUUAGGAUUUAGGGUUUUGGGCUUAAGAUUUUCUAGGGUUUUAUUAGGUUUAGUGGAAUUUUUAGGUUUUGGGUUUUAAAGGGUGUUUAGGAUAUUUAUGGUUUUUUUACGAUUAAGGGGUUCAUAGAGCUUAGGGUUUUUAAAAGUUUAGGUUUUAGGGGUUUUAAAUGUUUUUUAGGGUUUUUUUUAUUUCUUAAGUUAGACUCUUAGGGUUUAGCCCUAAGGUUUAGGGUUUAGCCCUAAGGUUUAGGGUUUCUUUGGGUAUAGAGUUGAGCAUUUAGGGUUUCUUAGGAUUUAGGGUUGAAGGUCUAAGUUUUUUAUUUAAGGUUUUUUAAGGUUUAAGGCUUAGGGAUUAAGUUUUUGUAGUAUUUUUUAGGUUUAGAGUUUUUUUUCGGUUUAGGAUUUUAAAAGGGUUUUUCAAGAUUUCUAUAAUUUUCUACGGUUUAGGGGUUCUUAGUGAUUAGGAUUUCUUUGAGCUUAGGGCUUAGGAUUUUAGAUUUAGGGUUGUUUAGGGGUUAGGGGAUUUAAGGGAUUUUUUAGGUUUAGUGUUUUUAAAGGUGUUUUUAGGGUUUAGGGUUUGUUGGUGUUUCAUAAGUCUUGGGGUUUCCCUAAGGCUGAGGGUUUAGUGUUUCUUAGAGUUUAUAAUUUAGGGUUCCUUAGGGGUUUCAAAUAUCUUAGGUUUAAGCUUGUAAAGGUUUUUUAAGGUGUUGAUCUAAUAUGCUUAUGAUAUGCCAACUCAAGGUUAGCUUGGGAUUACUCGUGAUCCUAGGUCCCGCGUUACGUCACGGGAGUAACCUCGGGGAGUGACAAAAACAAUGUCUGAAUAAAAGCCUCUAACUUACUAGAGAUACUGGGACAUGCCCCCAACUAACUCUAGCAAAACUGAAAAUAAAAUGAAAGACAGAAUAUAAAACAUGUCAAUCAUCCUCGAAAAACGAGGACUUACCACUGAUAUUGCUGAAUACGGAUCGGGAAUCGAUCUACGCAUGAUUCGAAUGCCGAGGACCUGUACCUACAUCCCGAGAAGAUGUAGCGUAGAGUAUGUGUCAGUACCUUUCAAGGUACUGAGAAUGCAUGACAGGAUAAAGAUGAACAAAUAUACAUAACUAAAUAGAGCAUAUUGAACGAUGGUAUAAUCUGGACAUGAUUAAUAAGAGUUUAGGUAUUUGGGUAAAGGUUCUUAGGUUAGGGUUUAGAGCUUAAGUUUUUCUUGGAUUAUUUUAGGUUAAGAGUUUUUUUUCGACUUAGGAUUCUUAAGGAUUUUUUAGGAUCAUUAAUAUUUUUACGGUUUGGGAGUUCUAAGGGCUUAGGACUUAGGGUUUUAGAUUAUGGAAUUUUUUUAGGGUUUGUAAGGUUUGUUUCAGGGAUUUUUAGUUUUAGAGUUUUAAAGGUUAUUAGUGUUUUGUUUUUCUUAGGAUUUAGGGAUUCUUAGAGUUUCAUAAGGAUUAGGAUUGGGGGUUUAUCCCUAAGAUUUAGGGUUUAGGUUUCUUAGGGUUUGAGUUUAACAUUUAAGGUCUCCUAGUUUUUUUUUUGUGUCAUUUGGGGUUUAGUGUUUUUCUAUUUUUUUUUUGGGGUCAUUUAGGGUUUAGUAUUUUAGGUUUAGGGUUUUUCUAGGGUUUAGGGUUUAUGUUUGUUAGGUUUAAGAUUUUUUAGAGGUUUUUAAGGUUUAGAGUUUUUAAAGUUUUUUGUUUUGUUUUUAGGGUUUAGGUUUUUCUUAGUGAUUUUUUUUUUUAUUUUAUUUGAAUGACCCUUGAAGGGGUCAGGGGCUUAGCAACACCCCCAGGCCUUAGCAUAAAUAAAGCAAAAAAUUACAAGGAGGGGGGCUUAAACCUAACCUCCAAACCUAUGGUGGUUCUGUAGUCGACCUACCUAGAAAGGUUAGUCAACUCAUCCCCUUAUAAAAAAGGUGAACCAAGAGACUAAGCACCUAAGAGAGGACUCCUCUCGAAACAAAGAAUCUAGGAAGCAUAAAUAAGGUAGACUCUCCCUUUACAUCAAAAAGUAAACUCUAUACCUAUUCAAGAUUGCUAUACUUUUAUCUUAUAGCAAGGUUGAAAAGAUUGUUCUAAUCUAAAGGGGGCUCUUUGAUUCUUUUGAUUUUCCUUCUCCUGAAACUUGCCAUUCCAAGCAUAUCUAGUUGAUAGUAGGCCCUUGCUUCCCUUGGUAGUUGUUGAUUGUUGCAAUAUAUUUGAGGGCAUGUGAUUUUGUGACUUUGUUUUGAUAAUGAAUCAGCCACAUUAUUGGCUUCUCUGAGGAUGUGUUUGCUCCUAAAGUUGUUGGUUUGGUUGAUGAGCCUUUGAAUUUGUUGUAGCUGUGUGUUAAUGCUCCACGGAGGUUUAGCUUUAAGUGUGAUCCAAUCCACUAAUAAUUGCGAGUCCACUUCCAGAAUGACAUUCUUGUAGCCAAGGUGAAUCAGCCAGGACAUGCCAAAUACGGCUGCUCUUAAUUCAGCUAGGUUGUUCGAACCUUCUCCCAAGGGGGUAGCAAAAGCUAGAAUCAUUUCUCCGUCUUGGUUCCUUAUGAUGCCACCUGCUCCAAUUCUGCCCGGGUUAAUUAAUGCACUGCCGUCUGUGUUGAUUUUGACCCACUGAUCUGGAGGCUUUAUCCAUUUAACACAAGUAACUUUGAUGUCAUGAAUACAUCUUUCCCCCAGCUGAAACAGUUCCCUCCAGGUUGCCGGCCACUUGAUUUGGUGGAAUGUUGUUGUCAUGAGUUUUUAGAUGUCCUUAUAGAUGGCAUAUUUGACUCUACUGAUAUUAGAAUGUUUCCCUUCGUAUUUACUAGCACACCUAUUCUUCCAUAGGUUCCAACAAAUGAAUAUUGGUGUUGCUUGUAAUAAUAGCUUGUGUGCUGCAUUGUUAUGUUUGGUCGACCACCAUUGCAUGAUGAGUUGUGAUAUAGAGCUGUGAUCUGUGUUAACUCCAGUAGCUGCAGCAAAACUUUUCCAUACGCAGGUAGCAAAAUGUCCAUUAUUGAAGAUAUGUUCUAUGGUGUCCAGACCUGUCCUGUUACAACAACAAAAACAAUUUGCUCGCUCAAUGCCAAAGCUGAUUAGUUUUUCAUUAGUAGGUAUUUUACCACGCAAAGUUCUCCAUAAAAGAAAGGAAGCUUUAAAAGGAAUACUCUUAUGCCAACAGAAAUUAUUGAAUGCAGUCUUCGUCCUCUUCUCCCUUAUCUCGUUCCAUGCAGAUGAGCAGGUAAAGUUUCCAUCACUGUUAAGCUUCCAGCAGGCCUGGUCUGGGAUGUCGUGUUGGAUAUGAAGCUCGGUAGCUAAAAUAUUGGCGAGAUAGUUGUGAGGAGCUUGUUGAAUGAGCAUGUUCAAGUUCCACUGACCUUCAACCCAGAAUUCUGCUACCUUGGUGUUGUUGAGCCUAUUGCUGGCAGUGGAGUACUGAGCAAGAGGUCCAAUACCAAGCCAGUCGUCCCACCAGAAGGAACAAUUGCCUGAGUUAAGCUUCCACUGAAUGUGUUCCUCUACUUUAUGUUUAUUAUGCAUGAGAUGCUUCCAGGUCUAGGACUCUCCCGUGUCCCAUUUCUUACUAAUAGGAUUUGAUCUUUGGCAAUAUUUAGCUCUCAAAAAGUCUCCCCAAAGGGUCUACUUGGAUCUAAAACACCACCAUUGUUUGUAUUGGAAAGCUAUGCAAACAUCUUUGAGAUUCCUCAUGCCAACACCUCCCUCUUCAUAAGGAAAGCUUAAAUUUUUCCAAGAAGCCCAAUGGUAUUUUGUUUUUUCAUUCCUCCAUCCCCAGAAGAAGUCAGCCAUGAUGCUUUGGAUCUGUUUCAGAACUGUAAUAGGGGUGGUCACUGCUGAUAAUAGGUGAAUAGGUAGUGACUGUAAUACAUGUUUGAUUAGAAUUGCUCUGCCACCAUAGCUUAAAAGUUUAGUUUGCCAGCCUGUGAUUCUGCAUAAGACUUUGUUAAUAAGGUCAGAAAAAUAAAUAAUCCUAGGUCUACCAAUAAACACGGGGCAACCAAGAUAAGUAAGAGGCCCCGCUUUCUGGCUGAAACCAAUAGUUCUUCUAAUUCUGUCUCUAGUGCUGUUGAAGGCAUUAGGAUGAAACAUGAAGUGGCUUUUGUCAAUAUUAAUAAGCUGGCCUGAGGUCUCUUCAUAAGUCUUCAAAGUUUGCAUGAUGAGUUUGAGAGUUUUCUGCCUUCCAGAGGUGAAGAGUAUAAUGUCAUCAGCAAAGCUUAAAUGGUUCACUUGCGGACCUCUUGGUUCCAUAAAGAAACCAUGGUACUGCUGAUUGCUAUGGAGUCUGUUCAAGGAUCUGGAUAGGACCUCUGCACCUAAAAUAAAUAGGGCAGGGGAUAAGGGGUCCCCUUGUUUGAGACCUCUGGUGGAGUGAAGGAAGCCAUGUCUUUUGCCAUUGACAAUAAUAGAGUACCAGUUGUUAGCCAUGAUCCUCCAAACUAUAUCAAUAAAGACCUCAUCAAACCCCAUUCUUCUCAAAACCAAGCAUAUAUAGGACCAUGAGACUCUAUCGUAUGCUUUAGCCAUGUCCAAUUUAAUGAUCACAUUGCUCCCAAUAUUAGGCUUCUUAAUCUGGUGAAGAAUCUCUUGGGCCAACAUGAUGUUUUCUGAAAUGCUUCUCCCCUUGAUAAAACCUGAUUGGUUAAGAGAAACCAAGGUAGGUAGAAUGGGGCCAAGUCUAGAGCUCAUCAAUUUAGAUAUAAUCUUGCUAGUAAAGUUGCUUAAACUGAUGGGUCUAAACUCAGUGAUUUUAUUAGGAUUGUUCACCUUAGGUAGGAGAACAAUGCAAGAAUGGGAAAAGUAUUUGGGAAUCAUUUGCCCACAAAAAAAUGCUUGAAUAACACCAAAUAGAUCAUUCUUGAUAAUAUGCCAACAUUUUUGGAAGAAGUGCCCAUUCAUCCCAUCAGGACCAGCUGCAGAAUUAGGGUUCUUAGAGAAAACCAUUUCCCUCAAUUCUUCCAUAGUAGGCAUGAUGAUAAGGUUAGCAUUUUGCUCCUGAGUGACCAUCCUGGGGAUACAAUUGAUAGCAUUUUCAUUUAUAGCUCUGUCUUGUCCAGUGAAAAUUUUGUUGAAAUGAUCACAGGCAGCUUCUGCAAUGUUGUCAUCUCCCUGUAUCCACUCUCCUUCCUCACUGAUAAGUUUGUGAAUAAACAGCCUUCUUCUCCUUCCUCUGAUCAGUGAGUGAAAGUAUUUCGUGUUAGCAUCGCCUUCCUUGAACCAUUGUAAUUGAGUUUUUUGUUUCAAAAUGGAGUCUUCCAUUUUUAGGAAUCUAAUAUAUUCUGCAUUGAGUUUAUGGAGAAUUGUCCUGUUAUUUUCUGUGUGAUCUUGAAUAAGACUCUCUUCAGCAAUCUUGACCUUCUCCUCAUACUCCUUGACUUUAAGAAAGAUAUCUUCAAAUUCCCCUUUGGACCAAGAACUAAGAGUGGUGGACAGCCUUUUCAAUUUCUGAUGAAAUUUCCACAUAUUGUUGCCCUCUACAGUUCUGUUCCAACAUGCUUUCACUGUGUCUAGGAAAUUAGGUUGAUCAGUCCAGCAAUUGAGGAAUUUAAAAUAUCUUAUGUGAUUUUCUUCUCUAGGACACAUUUCCAUCAGUAAUGGGCAGUGGUCUGAUCCUACAGAAGAUAGGUGAGUGAUGGUAGUUUGAGGCAUGAUUUCCAACCAGCUAUCAUUAACCAUGGCCCUGUCCAACCUUUUCCAGAUUCUGUUCUGUAUACCCCUUUUAUUUGACCAAGUGAACUUCUGGCCACUGAAGCCUAAAUCAAUAAGUCCACAGGCUUCAGUCACAGCAAUAAAGUCUAAACUCUUCCUCAUGUUAUAUGGUAUCCCUCCCAGCUUUACCUCAAUAGAAGUAAUGACAUUGUAGUCACCUACUGAGCACCAAGGUUUGGUGGUUUCAGUAGAAUGGUACAUCAUUCUAUCCCAUAGGGUCUUCUGAGAUGAUCCUUGCACUUGGCAUACACAAAGGUGGUGAUGAAUUGAUUCUAAAUUUCAUUGUGACCAAUCUCACAAGUAAUUUGUUGUUCAUCUUCCUCAAUUACUACACAAUCAAUGUCCUUAUCCAAAAGAGCCAAAUUUUGCCAUUUCGAUUACUCACAGCAUGUCCAUGGCCAAUUGGUUUUAAAACUUUGGAUCUGAAUAGUAUCCGAGAAUGGUUCUAAAAUAGCAAUGAUGGAAAGUUGGUGCACCUUAAUUAGCAUCUUGAUUCUUUCCAUUACUCCUUGAGUGUUGAUCCCCCUCACAUUCCAAAUAAUUGUACUAAUCAUUGGGAAGAUCUGGAGGAAAAGAGUCUAGUAUUUGGGCUGCCAGCAGUGACAGUGUUGAUAUCUUGCUUUUGAAUUGGAAUUCAUCAUGGUGCAGUCCCCUGGGAGAUAAUCCUUAGGUAUCAGCCACAUGUUGAAUCUCUUCUUCCAGUCCUUUAUCAGGUGAAGGACUAAAAGCUUUUAUCAAUAGCUCACUGGUCUCAUCAUCCUCAUCAGGAUCCUUAAGAGAUUGAUAAUCCCCAUCCAGUUCAUCUUCUGAAUUAUCAACAGCAUAUUCAUCGAUGACUGGACCUUUGUUUAUUUGGCACUUUUCUGGUGAUUUAUCAGGAGGCACAUUAAGAGGUAUGGUCAUAUAUUGUGCCUGCAGAGGAUUAAUAUCCAUUCCCAUCUGUUCAUUUACCAUAAUAAAUUUCUUGCACGUUUCCCCAUCUGUUUGCUGCUCCCUCUGUUCAUUUUUAUCCUGCUGUUGAUUUUGUCUCUUUUUUUCAGCUUCUCUCCUUUUUUUGCUAGGUUUGUUCUUGCUUUUGGUGAUCUGCUCCUGAUUGCUAGUACUAGCCUUUGAUCCCAUAUCUUUUGCCAUAGCUCCCUUGCUUUGUGUAGUUGUAUUUCCUGUCUCACUGUGGCUUUUGUUUUUGCUAUUUUUGUUGGUGUUUUGCUUCUCCUUUUCUGAUCUGUUCUGUUGUUGUACCUGCUGUUGAUUUGGACUCUGUUGUUGACUAGUGGUAGCAGGGGUUCUAAGGUCAUUCCUAUGGUCAAUGUGAAACCCCUCAUGCAUAACAUGAGUCAAAUUCCCCCCUUUGGACACCCCUUCCUGCAAGUUAGUUUGUUUCUCCUGACAUCCCCCAUCCAUCCCUCCUUCAACUUCAACAACAUUAUUAAGAUGAGAAUUAUUGGGGCAUGUGGGGGUUGGGAGCAUUGAGUCAAUACCUGUGCUUUUGUUGUUUGUUUUGUUUCCUGCCUGCUGGACUUGAAUUCUUUGGUUAUGGUCUGCUUUAGACCUUCUUUGUAGUCCCUGGGUUGUUGUCUCUUCUUUACUAUUGUGCUCCUGGAUAUCUUCAUUGAGUUUCUCCUGCAUGGUAAGAUUAGUAAAAGAGUUAUGAUUAGAGGUGUUACCUGUACCUGUUUGCUGAGUUAUGAUUUGUGGUUGUUCUUUUGACAUUUUGUUUUUUGGUGAGGUUGGUCUCCACAUUGUCUUUUGUAUUCUUUCCUCCUGCUGCUUAUUGUUUUUUCUUCUUGGCACCUGCCAUUCUCCUUCCGUUUGCUGCUCAGCUUGUUGUUGAUUAUUCUUUUCCCUAGAGUUUUGGUGUUGCUGCUCCUCUUGAUCCUUUGUCUUCAUUUGCUUGUGUUCAUUUCCUUGUUGCCUUUGCUCUCCUUCCUACAAGCUUUUCAUUUCUGUUCCCAAUUCUUUCCUUCAUUUGAAAUCCUCAUCCCUUAUUUUGAAGUUACAAUCAUCUAUUAUGUGACCCUGAUGUUUGCAGUAAGUACAGUAGGGUGGGAUAUUUUCAUAUUCGAUAGGUUGCCAUCUUCCAAUGGUGAGGUCUUCAUCAUCCAAUCCAAUCCAAACAUGUCUAGGUCUAGUCUUUGUAAGGUCCACUUGGACUUUAACCUUGGCCAUGCUAGCCCUGGUUCUCUUGAUGGAAGCUGUAUCUAAGUAUAGGACAUUGCCCACAGAUUCAAGUAGGGGUGUGAUGAACUCUUUUUUGAAGCAGUGCCAAGGCAAUCCUGGUAGGAGAACCCAUAUAGGAACAAUGGGUGUUCCCUCCUCAGGUCUAAAGUUGGGAGUCCAAGCUUGUAUUCUCAUAAGUUUGCCCUCAAUAGUCAUUCUUUGUUGUGUCCAUACAGUGUUAUAAUCCAAUUCAUUGUCCAAGUCGAUAAACACAUGCCUAGCAUUAUAGUGGGCAAUAUUGACCCCCCCAUUCAGCUGAGUUUGUAGGAUGAAGCUUUUCCUUAUGAGUUCUAUUUUCGGCAUGGUGGUACUGAAUUUACCUAUAAGGGUGUACUUACAAUCCACAGCCAAUUUGUUCAUGAAGUCAUCCAUGUCGUAGAUCACUGCAGGUUGGUCUUGCUUGGUGGUAUGUCUGGGGGAAACCAGCUCUAUGGAGGUAGCUUGUGUAGUAUGGAUUUGUCUAAGUCUUGCAGCCAGUGUUUGUACCACAGUAUAAGGGGGCAGGUUCUGUACGCUGGUCCUGUUUGGUUUUCUGGUUCUCGUUGGUAUUGCUGGGGCCAUUGGAUUCGUUUGGAGGAUUAAUUUGCUGAUCUUUUUGGUUGUAAGUUGUAAGUCGUGUGUCUAUCAAAAUUACUAGAAAUUUUAGGAAACUCUCUAUGAUAAUUAUUGGGUUCAGAGUUCCCUCCAUGAUCAGAUAAAGGAGCUUGACCUUUGUUUUUCUCAUUACUCUUAUUUCGUUCAACCUGCUGUUGGGAUUCCAAGUUCCCCCUGCUCUGUUCCAGAUCAUUCAGUAUAUCAUUCUUUUGUCUCUUUGCACUAGCAGUCACAUGAUCAUCCCUACUACUCAAGUUGACAACAUUUCUAUUCAAGUUAGGAUGAGAAAACUUACCUGCUUGAGUGCCACCCUCACGCGGAUUUUUUCUUGGUGCAUUAUUGUCUGCUGCUUGAAGUUCCUGCCUGUGAUCAUGAUCAAAUUUAGUAUUGUAGUUAGUGUUCAUACCUGGUCUUUGUUGUCCUCCAUUGCUUGGGAUUGUGUCCGAUGGUUUGACUCCAAAUGAGAAUUGUGAUGAGCUUUCCACUUCAAUUACUUCCAGAGUUGUCGACUUUGUAUUCCCAUGUUGAUCAUUUUGGUCUUGGCUUAGACUUGUGUCUCCUUGCUUCGAAUUCAUAGCUAAUUUUUGUGUCUCCAUUGAUUGCAGGUCUUGUUUUUUACCAUUGGGACCUUCAUGGUCUUGAGAAAAUGUCCCCUGAUGAUUUGCUUCAGUUUUUCCAUUGAGUUCUUCAACUUCAACUUGUUGUUUGGUUGUAGAUUUAUCAAAACUUGCCUGAAUUACAUCUUGGUGGUGAUCUUGAGGUAUAUUGAUGGGUAUGUUAGUAAGAUGGACCUCUUCCUCCAUCGAAUAAUUCCCAGUAGCAGUGCCACCGUCACUGUUCAUUUUUUCGGCUAUUUGCUCACCGGAGUUCAUGUUCCCGGCGACUGAGCCGUCCAUUUUACUUGAAAUUGCAGUGAGGUGUACCUCUUCAACAUGUGAGAAAUCCCCAGUGGUCAAUUCGCCAUGAAAUUGGCGUGAAGGUGGACGAAUCUGAAGGCGGCGCUCAAGCGAUUUUUUGGAACUUUUCCCAGAAUUCAUCUCCUCAGUUCUCUCAAUUGGGGAGGUGGAAUCACAUGAUUUUUUAGUAUGUUGUAGCCUUUGAGGAGGAGAAUCAUCCCCACUAAACAACUUUCGAUGAAUCACCUCAUCGCGAUCUGUGGAAAUAAUUUUUUGAAUCCCGUCCAACUCCAUUUCUGAAAUCGCGAUAUGCAUCGCUUCAUUGUUUUGCGAAUUCGUGGAGUUGUAGGUUGAAUUGGAAGACGAUUCAUGAUGGGUUUUGUUCGUCUGUUCAAGGCGCCUCUGCUUACCUAGGUUCGGCAGCCUAAAGAGGCCCACCGGCGGCUCACGCGCCAUUCCGGCUCGUGAACUAGCCGUUGGAGCUGUACCUGCUGUGUAAAUUUUUUUGAGAGUUCCGGGUAGAGAGGGAAAAUAGAGAGAGAAAAAAAUUGAGAAAUGAGGAAGCGAUCUUAGUGUUUUUUUGGGUUUAGGGUUUGGGGUUUUCUUAGAGUUUGGGUUUUGGCCUACGAUUUAGGGUUUCUUAGGGUUAAAGGAUUCAGGGUUUAAAGUUUGGGAUUGUGGGUUCCUUAGGUUUAGGAGUUUUAAAGUUUUUUUAAGGUUUUGGUUUUCUUAGUGAUUUUUAGGGUUUAGGGUUUCAUAGGGUUUAGGAUUCUUUUAAAAUGAUUUUAGGGUAAAUUAUGGUGUAGGGCUUACUGUGUUUUAGGUUUAAGGUUUUUAGAGAUUUUGAAAGGGGUUUUUUUUUUGUUAGAGAAUAUAGGUUUAGAGUUUUUAAAGGUUUUUAAGGUUUCAUAGGGUUUAGGAUUUUAGGUUUUAAGGUAUUUGGGUUUAUAAGGGUUUAAGGUUUAGAGUUUCUUAGGGUUUAGUGUUUCUUAGAGUAUGAUAGGGUUUCCUGGUUUAGAGUUUAGGGCUUAGGGUUUUAGGUUUAAAGAUUAUUUUUUUUGAGUUUUUUAAGGGUUUAUGCUUAUGAUUUUUUAAGGGUUUUUAGGUUUAGAGUUUUAAAAGGUUUUUAGGGUUUUAAGGGUUUUUAGGUUUAGAGUUUUAAAAGGUUUUUAGGGUUUUAAGGGUUUUUAGGUUUAGAGUUUUAAAAGGUUUUUAGGGUUUUUAAGGGUUUCUUUAUGUUUAGGGUUAAGGCCAAAGGUUUAGGGUUUAGGCCCUAAGGUAUAGGGUUUAAGGUUAAGGGUUUCGGGUUUUAGGUAAAGAGUUUUUUUUCGGGUUUAUAGUUUUCUUUAGGUUUAUUAUAUUUAUUAUUAGGGUUUUAAAAUGUUUAAGGGUUUAUUAGGGUUUUUUAAGAAUUUGGAUUUCUUAUGAUUUAGGGUUACGUAGGAUUUAGGGCAUGGGAUUUUUUUAAGGCUUAGGGUUUAGGUUUUCUUAGGGUUUAGGAUUUCUUAGUGUUUCAUAUGGUUUGAGGUUUAGGGUUUAUCCCUAUGGUUUAGAGUUAAGGAUUUAGAGUUUCUUAGGGUAUAGGAUUUAGCAUUUAUGAUUUCUUAGGGUUUGGUUUUUUAAAGGGUUUUAGGAUUUAGGGUUUUGGGCUUAAGAUUUUCUAGGGUUUUAUUAGGUUUAGAGGAAUUUUUAGGUUUAGGGUUUUAAAGGGUGUUUAGGAUAUUUAUGGUUUUUUUACGAUUAAGGGGUUCUUAGAGCUUAGGGUUUUUAAAAGUUUAGGGUGUAGGGGUUUUAAAUGUUUUUUAGGGUUUUUUUUAUUUCUUAAGGUAGAC
RNAcentral lists this long non-coding RNA (38384 nucleotides) under Solanum tuberosum (potato). RNAcentral describes it as "long non-coding RNA (STUB_LNC000433)". The record is from RNAcentral. Lineage: Eukaryota; Viridiplantae; Streptophyta; Magnoliopsida; Solanales; Solanaceae.